CCUUGAUUAAUAUUGAACAUCCUCAAUUACCCAGAAUUCUGUAGGGCAAAUUAAUUGACAAAUGAAAUAGAAAUUUAUUCUACUAUCCCUUUUAUAGACAACUUUCUAAAUAAGCGGUGCUAAGAAGUAAAAAUGUUUGAAGCAAAUAGUUUCAAUGACUAUUCUCUUCACAGUUGAAAUUUUUGCAAGGCAUAUGUCAAUGCUUUAUGAGACAGGAAUAACAGAGUGGGAAACUAAUAGAGAGGAAGCAAAGUGAUUUACAGAGUCUUUGAAAGUUUUUCUUUAUAUUUAAGGUUUCUUCUCAAGUUUCAAGUUGAGUGCUUUAAGGUUUUAUAAUUUAAAAUAGGGAGAAAGACCUGACUGUUUCUUCAGUCACAGUUCCUUCCUUCAGUAAGAUUGGCUGUGCUUUGGAACCUUAAUCAAAUAUCCAAGAUACAACCCUCCAUUUUUUCCUCCCUGAGAGAAAUUGCUACAUUCUAGUUACAUCUUAUUAAGCUUGCUCCUUACUUUCCAAGGGAUAUGAAAAAUAUACAGACAUCCAGGGAAGACUCACAUCUGGUCCCAUACCCAUGUAUAGGAGUAAUCGAAUGGUAACUUCUGCUUUUAGCCCCUGGGGCUUCUCUACUACUGCAUGGUGGGAUGCCUAUGGGAACCUACUUAGUCAUCCUAAGACACAUGCCUAAGACAUAUGUCACCCUUUAUGACACACACAUCCCUUAGCAAGUAGCAAGCAUCCAAGUCAGCUCUCAACAUAAUGCUAGGUAGACCGUAUUGAACAACUCCAAGGGGUGCUGUUCACACAAUGAUGUGAAUGGAGCCCACUUAGAAUAGUCAACUGGCAGCUCUGAUCCAAGGACAAGUGCAAGAAAGUGGCAUGCAAUGAAACAGAAAAUAAGUACAGAACAAAGAAAUGAAAGACUUGAAUUUUGAAGCCAAUGGGCAUCAAGGCUGAACCACUCUGUCAUCACGUAGAUCCUGGAGAAGGGCUCCAGUUUCCGGUAGCCUCACUCACUCUAUAUCUCCGGACUGAGAGGUUAUUACAUAUUAAGUGCUGCACUGGGGGGAGGUGGUUUCAGUGCCAGCCCUAUGGAUUCUGGGUAGGCACAGCUGUCUCAGACUCCUGGAGCUGCACAGCUGUGGAUUCAACAUGCACCAGCACUUCCAUUGGGAUGCUAGAGUGGAGCCCUGGGACAACCUAACUCUAUUAUCCUAUCAUCGUUGCCAAGGUAACAGGGGACUGUUGAUUCUACUGUCUGAGAUGAAGGUUAAAACUGGCAAGGAGAGGAAAAACGGGGAGCCAGCAAGACAAAAAACCUGUGUUCAUUUAGAAAUCUAGAGAUUUUGUUUGUUUGUUUUUCUGGUGAGAUUAUAGUUUUGAGUCCACAAACAAACUAGAAAGUUUCUUAAGAACACAUGAGUGGUGCCCAAGAAAGGCUAGGAAAGUUCCCUUGAAGAGAAGGCGUGAUGGGAUAUAAAUUAUGAGCUCUGUGGCUGAAAAAGCACAUGACCCCAGAAAUCAUGCAGUCCAGUCAAAUCUCCCAAAGUAGCAAUUACACAUUGAAGAGGGGGCUUUUACAGUAUAGUUUUGCAUCAUCUUUCGCAAAAUAAGUUAAUGCGAUUUCCAAAGCUUUUGCAAAUAUAAACUUGGAACUCUAAGAUAAUCGGACUGAUUUGUCUUUGAUCUGCUCUGUUUGCAAAGAGAAUCUUUUUCCAGUAUGAAUAUGUAAGUCAUAUUAGAAACGAAAUAAAAAUUCAUUAAUCACUUAUAUCGACUGCCCACCAUUAGGAGAGAUGCACAAAGGAUGUUUGAGAUAAUCUUUGCUCUCAAGAAGUUUAUCAUCUUCUUGAGGGGAACAAACUACAGUUAAAAUUAAAUUCCUUACAAACAAGGGAAUAUGUGUGCAAAUUGAGUAAAAGAUCAUUCCUGUUGGGCUAAAAUAGCAUAAUAGAACAUGGAUCAUUAUACUUCCUCUGCCUCUUCGUUUUGCACAAACUGCAAUGUUUAGGGAUCACUCCUGGUUUCUGGCUGAAAGAAAUGUGAGUGUGGCGGGGUGGGUGGUAUUAUCUGUUGUAUUUUGUCAGGAUCAGGGAAGCCGAGAGUGAGUAGGUGGGUUGUGUGAGGGAAUAAUGGUGAUGACAUCUUGGUGUCUGUUUCCCUCUUGGAACCUUGGAAUGGUUUGAAGCCCUAAGAUUGCAGGGUGACAACCAGAAGCUGGGAGUCUCUUAGAAGACUCCAUGGGCUCCAGGGAUAAGCCUUGCUGCUUUGGAACCCAGGGGAUAAAAUGAGACGAGGAGUUGAGAUGACCAUUGUCCCCACUUCUGCACAAAAACUCCUACAUCUCUGACACCCUGGAGAUUAACCCUUGCUCGGAGCAUUAGAAGACAGCACCCUUGAUGUGGACAUUGUGGCUUCUCGAGGAGCAGGGGCAGCAGUUGACAUCUGUAAGUCCUCUCCAGGAAGCUUCAGGGUGGUGGGUAUUGAUAAGAAGGAGCCAAAGGGGGAAAGCGCACCACAUGGGGCUGUAUUGUUUUCCCUGUGAGAUGCACGGAACAUCCCUUUCCUCAAUUCUGUAGGCUUUGGAGUUGGACACUGAGGUCCACUAUCCAUGAGUUGAAGGCUCAGAGCCACUGUAAUUUAGGAAUCAUUUGUUCCCUCAGGCGGUGGAAGCCUGCAACAUAUGCUCACCACUGCAUGAAUGUGAAGGGCCCAACCUAGAAUGCUGUUCAGGUAGUUAAAAGAGGAAUCUGAGGAUCCUGCCACUUUUGAGUAUUUACUACCAUAUUUCAUCAAUUCUAAGACACAUUUUUUUUCAUGUUAGCAUAUUUGAAAUUGGUGUGCAGCUGACCCUCGGAUCACUCAGAGACAGUCAGAACAUAGCUCUCGUCGCCUGCACAUUAAAACCUGCACACUGGUGUCACUGGCUUGGAAGAAAAUCUGAGACAAUAGCAAAAUACACUUUUAAGAAACGCUGCACCAUCAAUGCUCUGGAUUGCAGGAAGGAGCGAUCGCACUGUGUGAAAAAGCACACACAUCAAUGACUCCAAGUGGAAAAGCGAUUAGCAAGAGUUAAACUCUGC
This is a long non-coding RNA of Equus caballus (horse), 3078 nucleotides long. RefSeq lists it as uncharacterized. The record is from RefSeq and is a predicted model, not a curated record. NCBI's taxonomy places the organism in Eukaryota, Metazoa, Chordata, Mammalia, Perissodactyla, Equidae.